RNAcentral lists this unclassified non-coding RNA (216 nucleotides) under Hevea brasiliensis (rubber tree). Lineage: Eukaryota; Viridiplantae; Streptophyta; Magnoliopsida; Malpighiales; Euphorbiaceae. The record is from RNAcentral.
GCUGCAAAGGAAAAGCAAGAUGAAGAGUCUAUUGCUGCCGCAGCUAGUGCAAGACUACGUCUUCAGUCUAUUGUUUUUAAAUCCAACAGUAUGAAUGCUGGUAAGGAUUUUAACAAUGGCCAGGUUUCACAAGCUUCUUAAUUCUUGUGGAGCAUUUGUACCCGUGGUCCAGCACGCAUGUGAUUAACAGGCUAAAUACUUUUAACCCUCUUUCGC